Molecule: RNA transcript, 1685 nt
Organism: Cebus imitator (Panamanian white-faced capuchin)
Lineage: Eukaryota; Metazoa; Chordata; Mammalia; Primates; Cebidae
Gene: CBLC
Gene name: Cbl proto-oncogene C
Exons: 12
Source: RefSeq, a predicted model, not a curated record
GCGAGGCCGCGCCUAUCCCGGCCACAUCGGUCCCCGCGGCGCACGGGAGUCUCUCAUGGCUGUGGCGUUGGCCCCAUGGGGGCGACAGUGGGAAGAGGCCCGCGCCUUUGACCGGACGGUGAGGCUGCUGCAGCGCCUGGAAGAGCAAUGCAGCGACCCCCGACUGUCCAUGAGUCCCCCUUCGCUUCGGGACCUGCUGCCUCGCAUAGCGCAGCUGCUUCAGCAGGUGGCUCAAGCUCGUCGGGCUGCCGGCGGAGGCGACCCCGGGGAUCCCGGAGGCUCCGGGAACUUUCUAGUCAUCUACCUGGCCAAUCUGGAGGCCAAGAGCAGGCAGGUGGCCGAGCUGCUGCCGCCCCGGGGCCGAAGGAGCGCCAACGACGAACUCUUCCGGGAGGGAUCCAGACUCAGGCGCCAGCUGGCCAAGCUGGCCGUCAUCUUCAGCCACAUGCACGCAGAGCUGCGAGCGCUUUUCCCUGGGGGAUGUUACUGCGGUCAUGUGUACCAGCUCACCAAGGCCCCAGCCCACGUCUUCUGGAGGGAGCGCUGCGGAGCCCGGUGUGUGCUGCCCUGGGCUGAGUUUGAGUCGCUCCUGGGCACCUGCCACCCAGUGGAGCCAGGCUGCACGGCCCUGGCCCUGCGCACCACCAUUGACCUCACCUGCAGCGGGCACGUGUCCAUCUUCGAGUUCGACAUCUUCACCAGGCUAUUCCAGCCAUGGCCAACACUCCUCAAGAACUGGCAGCUCCUGGCAGUCAACCACCCAGGCUACAUGGCCUUCCUCACCUACGAUGAGGUCCAGGAGCGUCUGCAGGCCUACACGGACAGGCCAGGCAGCUACAUCUUCCGGCCCAGCUGUACUCGCCUGGGGCAGUGGGCCAUCGGCUACGUAAGCUCAGAUGGCAGCAUCCUGCAGACCAUCCCUGCCAACAAACCCCUGUCCCAGGUGCUCCUGAAGGGACAAAAGGACGGCUUCUACCUCUACCCAGAUGGAAAGAACCACAACCCAGACCUGACCGAGCUCUGCCGGGCAGAACCCCAGCAGCGCAUCCACGUGUCAGAGGAGCAGCUGCAGCUCUACUGGGCCAUGGACUCCACAUUUGAGCUCUGCAAGAUCUGUGCUGAGAGCAACAAGGAUGUGAAGAUCGAGCCAUGUGGACAUCUGCUCUGUAGCCGCUGCCUGGCUGCCUGGCAGCACUCAGACAGCCAGACCUGCCCCUUCUGCCGCUGUGAGAUCAAGGGCCGGGAGGCCGUGAGUAUCUACCAAUUCUAUGGCCAGGCUACUGCUGAGGACUCAGGAGACAGCAGUCACCAGGAAGGCAGGAAGCUGGGGCUGGGGCAGGUGCCCCCUUCGGCUCCUCCACUGCCCCCACGGUCAGAGCUGCCCCCGAGGAAACCCAGAAAUACCCAGCCAAAGGUGGCACCUGUGGCCUUCCCCAGACUUCAGGCCCCUCUUCCCUUGCCAAGAAUUAAGACUGUGGCCUCAGCCCCACCAGAAGCCACCUCCAGCCCCCAGGCCAGGGAGGGGGCUACAGAAGACUUCUAAAGGGGAACUCCCCUCCAGCUGCCCUGGGAGCCCAGGACCCUGCCCCCGCCUGAGGCAGGGCCCUGAGAUGUGCUGCUAACGGGAACCCCAGGGUCUGGAAGGGGGUGGUGAAUAGGAAAUAAACUGCCAAGCCUGCUCUGUC